AGUGAACGCUGGCGGUAGGCCUAACACAUGCAAGUCGAACGGCAGCACAGUAAGAGCUUGCUCUUACGGGUGGCGAGUGGCGGACGGGUGAGGAAUACAUCGGAAUCUACUUUUUCGUGGGGGAUAACGUAGGGAAACUUACGCUAAUACCGCAUACGACCUACGGGUGAAAGCAGGGGAUCUUCGGACCUUGCGCGAUUGAAUGAGCCGAUGUCGGAUUAGCUAGUUGGCGGGGUAAAGGCCCACCAAGGCGACGAUCCGUAGCUGGUCUGAGAGGAUGAUACGCCACACUGAAACUGAGACACGGUCCAAACUCCUACGGGGGGCAGCAGGGGGGAAUAUUGGAAAAGGGGCGAAAGCCUGAUCCAGCCAUACCGCGGGGGUGAAGAAGGCCUUCGGGUUGUAAAGCCCUUUUGUUGGGAAAAAAAAGAAGCAGGUUAAUACCCCGCUGUUCUGACGGUACCCAAAAAAAAAGCACCGGCUAACUUCGU
RNAcentral lists this ribosomal RNA (491 nucleotides) under uncultured bacterium. RNAcentral's name for it is "partial 16S ribosomal RNA". It matches the Rfam family "Bacterial small subunit ribosomal RNA", at positions 29 to 506 of the family's 1533-position model. The record is from RNAcentral.